Molecule: long non-coding RNA, 2511 nt
Organism: Myodes glareolus (Bank vole)
Lineage: Eukaryota; Metazoa; Chordata; Mammalia; Rodentia; Cricetidae
Source: RefSeq, a predicted model, not a curated record
AAAAUAAAAAAUAUUCUUUAUUAGAAGAAAAAUAAAUAAAUAAUAAAUCACUCUGACAGAAAAAAAAAGGGACAAAAGAUCAAAGUGGUUGCUGAGAAGAAGUAUUACCUUCAACCUGCCUCUUGGUGAGGGCUCCCGUGUUUACCAAGUCUUUUGUGAGGAAGGACAAACUACUAAAUGGGGCGGGCACAUGAUGAUGGGUGGCGCUCAUUUCACGCUUCGCUGAAUGCCUUUCGUCACUCACGCACCACGGGUAUAUGUAUAAGCACCUAUGCGCCAGGACCCGACGCUGGGCAGAGCGGGAAACCCUUGCUCAAGCUGAGCCCCGCCGCUUCGGCCGCUGGCAGCUCCACUCGUCUUCCCUCAGCAGAGCUGUUCUCUCCGCACAGAACUGCUGUUUGUCAGUUUUAGGGCUCAGAAGGCAUUUGAACCAGGCUUCAGGGAACGCUGGCCAUUCCGAUAUCAGCACGCUUUUAUUGAGCAGGUGGUAUCCUGAGCAAUGACAACCAGAAGACCCUCAAUUUUCUGUAGCCAGCAGCGUGAUACAAAUGGCUGCCGGCAGACAGGCCGUUAAACAUCGCGAAGAUUCCCUAAAGGCAGGCUUGAGAACUUGUAGCGCCUUCCUUCAGUGACAGGCGACCAUUCCAAAACUCGCUCUCCGGUGUCUGUUUCAAUUGCUUCAUAAGGCAGCGCUGAGUGGCCAUGUACUCAACAUAUGUUGGGCUGAAAGGAACGAUGUGGAAAUCAGGCCUGAGUACAAAGGGCUCCCCUGCUCCCCCAGACGAAAUUCAUCUCUCUUGUACUAGAUAGCUGGCACUUAGAGGGUCCUGAGACCUAUCAUUGCUGUUUUGCCAGUGUUCCUCUCGUUCCUCUCGUGUUACUUAUAUGUCUCUGCUCGUGAGCGGGUGGACUCUCUGCAGCCGGCCAAAGCACAGCGUGAUGGAGAGCGCUGCUUUUGGAGUCGUAAUCCUUAGUGAUCCUAAAACGGGAGUGCGUUUCCCUGCUUUAUGCUUCUGAUGGAUAACUCCGUGUGUCAACUUGACUGGGCUCAAGAACGCCCAGAUAAUAAUACAGCGCUGUUCCUGGGCAUGCCUGGGAGGGUGGCGCAGGAAGAAGCGGGCAGAGAGUCAAUCCUUCGAAGCCAACGGUAGCUGCUAGGAAGGAAAUCCUUCCUCCACUUCCCUCUUUGCCAAGAGAAGAACUUUGCUAGCAAUUUCUGCGUGCCUGGCUCGUAGUGCAAGCUUUGUCACGCAGUCAGGACCACGGGAUGCUUGAACCUGAUUGGAGUUUCCUGCAAAUGUAAUCGAGUCACCUGAAAAUAAAGGCAGCUUCCUUUCCGUUUCAAUCGGUUUGCUUUUGAUUUCUCUGUCCUGGUGUGUUGUGAGGUAAGCCCACAAGAGACCCCCACAUGGAGAUCUUCGAGAGGAAAGGAAAGUCUUGUCAGCAACUACGUGAGUAACUUGCCCAAGUCGUGCAGCCCCAGGCCUUACAACUCUUUGUCUUUUGUGCACAAAACCUGCAUCCUGGUUGGCACACUCCAGGUAGCACAAAGCAGAACUUCGGAAACCAAAAGGCAUGACUAGUUUAGUACAUUAAGAAACUUUUUACCGGGGGACUUUCUUGGAACUAUGGACUAGGUCUGAUUUUGCCAGGUGUUGGGGUCUACAUGACAGGUUUUAUCUGCAUGGCAUCAGUAGUGUUAAUGUCUGGGGGCCUGUCACAGUAUUGAAUUCUGAGAACUCUCAGUCUGGUAUUCAAGAGACAUAGUGCUAGCUGGCAUCCCAACUCCUCACAGGCAAGAAGCACUCAGGAUUCGGUAACUGAAUGUGACACCCUUUGUUAAUUCGAGGACGUUCCCCUCUAUUGUCUGUGUUCUGAGAAAUGUGUUGGACAUGAGCCCUAGAAACCACUAAAUGUUUCCUUGCACCUACUGAGAUGAUGAAGAAUUUUCUCUAAAUUCUGUUAACACAAUGAUUUACAUAAAUUGAAUUUUUCAUGGUAAGCUAGUUUUGCAUUUCUUAAUACAACAGGCCCAGUGGUAAAUCGCAAUUAGAUCGUGGUUGGUUGUGAUUUGAUGUGUCACUGACGUCUAUAGACCAUAGACAAAGUGGUUUUUGUGCUCUGCUUUGCUUUGUCUUUGAGGCAAGGCCCUAUUAUGAUCUCCUUAGAGUCUAAGCUGGCCUCAAAUCUGCGAUCUUCCUGCCUCCACCUCCCGAGUCUGGAAUUAGAGGCAUGUACUACCAUGCUUGCCUUUUUUGCUUUCUUUCCUCGAAACAGGGGCUCCCUAUGUAGCUGAGACUGGCCUCGAACUCAUGGUCCUCCUUCCUCCGUCUCCCAAGGACUGAAAUAACCAGCAUGUACUUGAUGCCUGGCCUAAGCAAUGAUUUCCUGGACAGCAUGUGAAAUAUAGCAUUCCUGUCAUUUUUGUUCUCAAAGCUACUGCACACGCUAAGAGAUACUCUGUAGGAGUAUGACACCAGAGUAACAGGAUAAUUGAGGAAAAGUGUAAAC